This 717-nucleotide ribosomal RNA is filed under the name Stenotrophomonas sp. Its description in RNAcentral is "bacterial SSU rRNA". It matches the Rfam family "Bacterial small subunit ribosomal RNA", at positions 27 to 731 of the family's 1533-position model. The record is from RNAcentral. Lineage: Bacteria; Pseudomonadati; Pseudomonadota; Gammaproteobacteria; Lysobacterales; Lysobacteraceae.
GAGUGAACGCUGGCGGUAGGCCUAACACAUGCAAGUCGAACGGCAGCACAGUAAGAGCUUGCUCUUACGGGUGGCGAGUGGCGGACGGGUGAGGAAUACAUCGGAAUCUACCUUUUCGUGGGGGAUAACGUAGGGAAACUUACGCUAAUACCGCAUACGACCUUCGGGUGAAAGCAGGGGACCUUCGGGCCUUGCGCGGAUAGAUGAGCCGAUGUCGGAUUAGCUAGUUGGCGGGGUAAAGGCCCACCAAGGCGACGAUCCGUAGCUGGUCUGAGAGGAUGAUCAGCCACACUGGAACUGAGACACGGUCCAGACUCCUACGGGAGGCAGCAGUGGGGAAUAUUGGACAAUGGGCGCAAGCCUGAUCCAGCCAUACCGCGUGGGUGAAGAAGGCCUUCGGGUUGUAAAGCCCUUUUGUUGGGAAAGAAAAGCAAUCGAUUAAUACCCGGUUGUUCUGACGGUACCCAAAGAAUAAGCACCGGCUAACUUCGUGCCAGCAGCCGCGGUAAUACGAAGGGUGCAAGCGUUACUCGGAAUUACUGGGCGUAAAGCGUGCGUAGGUGGUUGUUUAAGUCUGUUGUGAAAGCCCUGGGCUCAACCUGGGAAUUGCAGUGGAUACUGGGCAACUAGAGUGUGGUAGAGGGUAGUGGAAUUCCCGGUGUAGCAGUGAAAUGCGUAGAGAUCGGGAGGAACAUCCAUGGCGAAGGCAGCUACCCU